UUCCCCCCUAAAAUUGGUAUCCUCAAAACACCCAAGGGUUUCUCUCUGCCACCACCGUCUUCAUCAUCUUCCCUUCUCUCCCUCUUUUUGUAUACAUCUCAGAAGAGCUCAUACUUUAUCUGUUUCUCAUGUGACUCUGAAGCCUCUUUCUUUCCUUCAACAUACCCAAGAUAAAGUUUUCUCAACUUCUUCUCAAUCAUUUAUUUCCUUCUUUAUCUAUUUUAAUUCAUGUGACUUUGCUUUUCUCAACUUAUUCUCAAUCAUUUAUUUCCAUUUCCUUCAACAUACAACUUCUUUAUCUGUUUUAAUUUUUCACUUUCUCUUCUGCAUUUCAGUUACGUUUUCUGUUCGUUUACUCAGAAAAUGAUACCACUUUUUUCUCUCUGUUAUCAUUUACUUCGAAGGAUGUUUUAUCAUUCUAUUAUCAUUUCCCUCCUGGCCCAAAAGUAACAGGGUUUAUGAAAUAUUUUCAGAUUGUCUUCACCCCUGGGCAAGAUAAAUGCUUCACAUGCGGUCAGAUGGCCAUAUAGCGGCAAAUUGUGAAGGAAAGGCAAAGAGGAAGGAAGGAGAAUUUGAUGAGAAAGCUGAUGGAAAAACAGUGGCCAGAAAGCCAUAUCAUGUUACUUUGCAAUUGAAUUUAUAGCUGGAAUUAUUAUAAUGAAUUCUUUGGAAAAAUUAGAACUUGUUAUUUGCUUCAUCUUUGCAGUUCUUGAACAUAUGGACCCUUAGGGAGUAUCUGGAAUAUGAGAUGAGAAUCCCCAAUCCUCCUUUUGAAAUUGACUUGGAACGCGUUUAAUUCUCUGUUUUAAUUCUCUAUUUUUUCUUUCAUUUUUUAAUGUUAAAUUUAUCCUUUCAGCCCCAUCGAUUUUGGAUCUCAUAAUUUAUUUUUGGUUCUUAGGUUCAGUGAGCUAUAUUGGGUGCUUUUCGGGAGAUUUUCUUUCAUUUUCCUUUCUCCUAUUUCAGUGGAUUUAUUUUUGGUUCUUUUAUUUCAUUUUCCUUUCUUUAGGUCUUUUAUUCAGAGGUUGCUAUUGUCUGUAAUUAUUUCUUAUAAAUCUUUUUUACAUGUUUUUUAAUUCAUUAAUAAUUGUAGCAGGUUUUUGCCCUUCUAAUAAAUAAUUUUAAUUUUAUUAGAAAUUCUCUUUCUUUUUCGCUUCCUUUUGACACCUAUGGCCUGUUGUAGAAUGUUUUUUUCUGUUUAAGACGAGAUUAACAAGUUAUUUCUCCUUCUAGUAUUAGAGAUUGUAUGGGGUGGUGAGAUGUGCUUGGUAACUCUAGAUUUGAGAUAACUUUACCAGUCUUAUCAUGUUCUCUAUUUUAUGAGCUGCAUGUAUGCAUACAUUUGCUUUUCAGUGAGAAAAUCUUAUGAUGUUAUUUCUUGUUUUACCUGAGAUAUACUGCCAUGUUCCUUUGCAAUUAAUACAAAAUUAGCUUUUGUUGUCUUUUUAAUAUCCAGACUUGGCGUUAGGGUUUCUACUUUCGGUUCAUCUGAUUCUAUGAUACACUAUUUUAUAUUAAUCAUAUCUCCCUCCUUUGUUUUUCUCCAUUACUAAUUGGAAGGAAUUCUAUCAAUUGAUCGGUCAUUUUGCAUGUAAUAUUUUUUAAAAAUUUAUUCCUCAAUUUUGUUGUUAAAAUUAAGAUUUUAUAGUUUUACGUUUGAUUAACGUGAUUAAAAUUAUGGUUCUCAUUGUGAAUACUUCCUUCAUCGUAUUUUACUUUGAUUACAGAUUUCAUGUAAAUUUUUGUUACUUUAUUUGCAGGUUAAUAGCUUUCCACUAUGGGGUUUAAAAAGGUUUAUAAAUGCUUCAUGGAUAUUUUCCCGCAGCUGUUGCUAUCGAGAACUCUAAGGAUGUGGACGCAGCUGCGGAGAUUGUUCUAUCUGAGACUCUGCCUUACCUAUCUAAAUGAACCGUGGCUGGUAGUUCUUCCUCAUGGAAUCGGAGCCCUCCUUAUGCUUAUUCACUUGAAGAUAUGGCGGAAUUUAUACAAAGUCGUUUCCUUCCAGUCUGCCUAUGACAUCAAGAGGCUCUCAUUUUGGGGGGCCUGGAACUGAUAUCAGCUGAAAUGAUUCCACUUUAAUCCGUGGCCUCAUUGUGGAUUAAUUCCUUUUGAUGCUUGCAUACAUUUGGAGGUCCAUGGGAUUUCUGUAAAGUCCGAGACCAAUGAACCAAAACAGCAAAAAUUACGUACCUGGAAUCGUGAAACGAAGGAAUUUGAGUGAAUUCGAUAUGUCAAAAUUGGGUAUUGGAUUUGAUGAUGAGAAGUCCGAAAGAAAAACAUCGGAAAAGGCAUUAGUUUUGUCUCAGAUUAACGUUUUAAAAACAGAAAUAUGGAUGUGCUGCUGUUUGAUUUCAGAGAAAAUAAGGAAACUACAAAAAGGAACUUAGAGAAGCUUUAGCUAAUAUUGAACCAAAGCAUCAAAACGACGUUGCAGAUUUAAUAAAUAGUUACAUAAGUUUAUACCCAAAAUGGGUUUUUGAUCUCAGGCACUUAGAUUAAGGUCGAAUGAGCUAAAAUUGGAGAGGCAAUUGGAGAACACAGAGGUGAA
Gossypium raimondii (Peruvian cotton) is the source of this 2545-nucleotide long non-coding RNA. RefSeq lists it as uncharacterized. NCBI's taxonomy places the organism in Eukaryota, Viridiplantae, Streptophyta, Magnoliopsida, Malvales, Malvaceae. The record is from RefSeq and is a predicted model, not a curated record. The transcript is spliced from 7 exons.